GAUGAACGCUGGCGGCGUGCCUAAUACAUGCAAGUCGAGCGAACAGACGAGGAGCUUGCUCCUCUGACGUUAGCGGCGGACGGGUGAGUAACACGUGGAUAACCUACCUAUAAGACUGGGAUAACUUCGGGAAACCGGAGCUAAUACCGGAUAAUAUAUUGAACCGCAUGGUUCAAUAGUGAAAGACGGUUUUGCUGUCACUUAUAGAUGGAUCCGCGCCGCAUUAGCUAGUUGGUAAGGUAACGGCUUACCAAGGCAACGAUGCGUAGCCGACCUGAGAGGGUGAUCGGCCACACUGGAACUGAGACACGCUCCAGACUCCUACGGGAGGCAGCAGUAGGGACUCUUCCGCAACGGGCGAAAGCCUGACGGAGCAACGCCGCGCGAGUGAUGAAGGUCUUCGGAUCGUAAACCUCUGUUAUUAGGGAAGGCCAAAUGUGUAAGUAACUAUGCACUUCUUGACGGUACCUAAUCAGAAAGCCACGGCUAACUACGUG
This 497-nucleotide ribosomal RNA is filed under the name uncultured bacterium. RNAcentral's name for it is "partial 16S ribosomal RNA". It matches the Rfam family "Bacterial small subunit ribosomal RNA", at positions 28 to 507 of the family's 1533-position model. The record is from RNAcentral.